Molecule: ribosomal RNA, 253 nt
Filed under: uncultured bacterium
Lineage: Bacteria
Description: partial 16S ribosomal RNA
Rfam family: Bacterial small subunit ribosomal RNA
Source: RNAcentral
UACGUAGGUGACAAGCGUUGUCCGGAUUUACUGGGCGUAAAGAGCGCGCAGGCGGUCGAUCAAGUCGAGUGUGAAAGCCCCCGGCUCAACUGGGGAGGGUCAUUCGAUACUGAUCGACUCGAAGGCAGGAGAGGGUAGUGGAAUUCCCGGUGUAGUGGUGAAAUGCGUAGAUAUCGGGAGGAACACCAGUGGCGAAGGCGGCUUGCCAGAACGCGCUCGACGGUGAGGGAUGAAAGCUGGGGGAGCAAACCGG